UACGGAGAAGGCAAGCGCUAUCCGGAAUUAUUGGGCGUAAAGCGUCCGUAGGUGGUUGACCAAGUCUGCUGUCAAAGGGUGGGGCUUAACCUCAUAAAGGCAGUGGAAACUGGUGAGCUAGAGUGCGGUAGGGGUAAGGGGAAUUCCCAGUGUAGCGGUGAAAUGCGUAGAGAUUGGGAAGAACAUCGGUGGCGAAAGUGCCUUGCUGGGCCUGCAAUGACACUGAGGGACGAAAGCUAGGGGAGCGAAAGGG
Molecule: ribosomal RNA, 253 nt
Filed under: uncultured bacterium
Lineage: Bacteria
Description: partial 16S ribosomal RNA
Rfam family: Bacterial small subunit ribosomal RNA
Source: RNAcentral